This 31-nucleotide non-coding RNA is filed under the name Homo sapiens (human). The record is from RNAcentral. Lineage: Eukaryota; Metazoa; Chordata; Mammalia; Primates; Hominidae.
UGUGCUGUCCACACAGGUUGUCUCCUGUGUC